CUGCCAUCGAGCCUCGUCGCUUUUGGCUGUGAGGUUCCCGACGGUGAAAAGAAGGCGCACAACAAGAUCCUGUGAGAGAACGGUGACCGGCCCUCCUGGGAUGAUUAAAUGUCAAAACACACGCAAGAAAGAGACCCGAAUGCCUCGUGCCGAUGGACGCAAUGUUCUUGGACUUGAGGAGACAGCGCGAUGAGAGAUCCAGCACAGAGGAGGCGUGCCCGCGUCCCUGGCAGCCCCUU
Pseudoliparis swirei is the source of this 239-nucleotide long non-coding RNA. RefSeq lists it as uncharacterized. NCBI's taxonomy places the organism in Eukaryota, Metazoa, Chordata, Actinopteri, Perciformes, Liparidae. The record is from RefSeq and is a predicted model, not a curated record. The transcript is spliced from 3 exons.